UCGAGCGGACAGAUGGGAGCUUGCUCCCUGAUGUUAGCGGCGGACGGGUGAGUAACACGUGGGUAACCUGCCUGUAAGACUGGGAUAACUCCGGGAAACCGGGGCUAAUACCGGAUGCUUGUUUGAACCGCAUGGUUCAAACAUAAAAGGUGGCUUCGGCUACCACUUACAGAUGGACCCGCGGCGCAUUAGCUAGUUGGUGAGGUAAUGGCUCACCAAGGCAACGAUGCGUAGCCGACCUGAGAGGGUGAUCGGCCACACUGGGACUGAGACACGGCCCAGACUCCUACGGGAGGCAGCAGUAGGGAAUCUUCCGCAAUGGACGAAAGUCUGACGGAGCAACGCCGCGUGAGUGAUGAAGGUUUUCGGAUCGUAAAGCUCUGUUGUUAGGGAAGAACAAGUACCGUUCGAAUAGGGCGGUACCUUGACGGUACCUAACCAGAAAGCCACGGCUAACUACGUGCCAGCAGCCGCGGUAAUACGUAGGUGGCAAGCGU
Molecule: ribosomal RNA, 497 nt
Filed under: Bacillus mojavensis
Lineage: Bacteria; Bacillati; Bacillota; Bacilli; Caryophanales; Bacillaceae
Description: bacterial SSU rRNA
Rfam family: Bacterial small subunit ribosomal RNA
Source: RNAcentral